This 1397-nucleotide ribosomal RNA is filed under the name Pedobacter sp. HMD1015. RNAcentral describes it as "16S ribosomal RNA". It matches the Rfam family "Bacterial small subunit ribosomal RNA". The record is from RNAcentral. Lineage: Bacteria; Pseudomonadati; Bacteroidota; Sphingobacteriia; Sphingobacteriales; Sphingobacteriaceae.
ACAUGCAAGUCGAGGGGUAGAGAAGGCUUGCUUUCUUGAGACCGGCGCACGGGUGCGUAACGCGUAUGCAACCUACCUUUAUCUGGGGGAUAGCCCGGAGAAAUCCGGAUUAAUACCGCAUAAAAUCACAGAAUAGCAUUAUUUAAUGAUCAAACAUUUAUGGGAUGAAGAUGGGCAUGCGUGUCAUUAGCUAGUUGGCGGGGUAACGGCCCACCAAGGCGACGAUGACUAGGGGAUCUGAGAGGAUGGCCCCCCACACUGGUACUGAGACACGGACCAGACUCCUACGGGAGGCAGCAGUAAGGAAUAUUGGUCAAUGGAGGCAACUCUGAACCAGCCAUGCCGCGUGCAGGAUGACUGCCCUAUGGGUUGUAAACUGCUUUUAUCCGGGAAUAAACCUACUUACGUGUAAGUAGCUGAACGUACCGGAGGAAUAAGGAUCGGCUAACUCCGUGCCAGCAGCCGCGGUAAUACGGAGGAUCCAAGCGUUAUCCGGAUUUAUUGGGUUUAAAGGGUGCGUAGGCGGCCUGUUAAGUCAGGGGUGAAAGACGGUAGCUCAACUAUCGCAGUGCCCUUGAUACUGAUGGGCUUGAAUGGACUAGAGGUAGGCGGAAUGAGACAAGUAGCGGUGAAAUGCAUAGAUAUGUCUCAGAACACCGAUUGCGAAGGCAGCUUACUAUGGUCUUAUUGACGCUGAGGCACGAAAGCGUGGGGAUCAAACAGGAUUAGAUACCCUGGUAGUCCACGCCCUAAACGAUGAACACUCGCUGUUGGCGAUACACAGUCAGCGGCUAAGCGAAAGCGUUAAGUGUUCCACCUGGGGAGUACGCCCGCAAGGGUGAAACUCAAAGGAUUUGACGGGGGCCCGCACAAGCGGAGGAGCAUGUGGUUUAAUUCGAUGAUACGCGAGGAACCUUACCCGGGCUUGAAAGUUAGUGAAUUAUCCAGAGAUGGAUAAGUGAGCAAUCACACGAAACUAGGUGCUGCAUGGCUGUCGUCAGCUCGUGCCGUGAGGUGUUGGGUUAAGUCCCGCAACGAGCGCAACCCCUAUGUUUAGUUGCCAGCACGUUAAGGUGGGGACUCUAAACAGACUGCCUGUGCAAACAGAGAGGAAGGAGGGGACGACGUCAAGUCAUCAUGGCCCUUACGUCCGGGGCUACACACGUGCUACAAUGGAUGGUACAGAGGGCAGCUACAUAGCAAUAUGAUGCGAAUCUCACAAAGCCAUUCACAGUUCGGAUUGGGGUCUGCAACUCGACCCCAUGAAGUUGGAUUCGCUAGUAAUCGCGUAUCAGCAAUGACGCGGUGAAUACGUUCCCGGGCCUUGUACACACCGCCCGUCAAGCCAUGGAAGUUGGGGGUACCUAAAGUAUGUAACCGCAAGGAGCGUCCUAGGG